UACAGAGGGUGCGAGCGUUAAUCGGAAUUACUGGGCGUAAAGGGCGCGUAGGCGGUCGGGAGAGUGUGGUGUGAAAGCCCUGGGCUUAACCUAGGAAGCGCACCGCAAACGUCCUGACUGGAGUAUAAGAGAGGGUGGCGGAAUUUCCGGUGUAGCGGUGAAAUGCGUAGAGAUCGGAAGGAACGUCGAUGGCGAAGGCAGCCACCUGGCUUAAUACUGACGCUGAGGCGCGAAAGCGUGGGUAGCGAACAGG
This 253-nucleotide ribosomal RNA is filed under the name uncultured bacterium. Its description in RNAcentral is "partial 16S ribosomal RNA". It matches the Rfam family "Bacterial small subunit ribosomal RNA", at positions 524 to 776 of the family's 1533-position model. The record is from RNAcentral.